CCAGUAGCUCAGUAGGAUAGAGCAACGGCCUUCUAAGCCGUAGGUCAGGGGUUCGAAUCCCUUCUG
Molecule: transfer RNA, 66 nt
Filed under: human gut metagenome
Rfam family: tRNA
About the family: Transfer RNA (tRNA) molecules are approximately 80 nucleotides in length.
Source: RNAcentral